This 235-nucleotide long non-coding RNA is filed under the name Nicotiana benthamiana. RNAcentral describes it as "long non-coding RNA (NBEN_LNC017288)". The record is from RNAcentral. Lineage: Eukaryota; Viridiplantae; Streptophyta; Magnoliopsida; Solanales; Solanaceae.
GCCACUUCCGGGUGAAGUUGCUUCCUGAGCAAGUUCUGCUAUCAUUUCUUCAUACGCCUCAUCUAUUUCUGGUUGUGAUUCUGCUAGGCCAAAGCUCCUUCUUUCUGCGCGGAUCCAAUCUCGAAAAAGCAUUGAUUUUUCCAAGUUGUCCCGCAUCGACGCUCUGUGAUCACCUAUUUGUAGUCUAGCUUGACUAAAAGCGCUCUCCGAUGCAACAAUUGACGCUUGAAUCGAC